Molecule: small RNA, 134 nt
Filed under: Escherichia coli
Lineage: Bacteria; Pseudomonadati; Pseudomonadota; Gammaproteobacteria; Enterobacterales; Enterobacteriaceae
Description: RtT sRNA
Rfam family: RtT RNA
About the family: This family represents a bacterial cis-regulatory element known as RtT RNA.
Source: RNAcentral
UGCAUUUGAAGCCCAUGAGGAUGAGAGCCUCCGGGGGCGGGGAGGUUCGACGCGAGCGAAGCGAGAGAACGUUGCGCCAGCAACGGCCCGCAGGGCGCGCCACGAAGUGGCGAGUAAUCCUCUAUCACCGACCA